This 568-nucleotide ribosomal RNA is filed under the name Bacillus sp. G8O50(A). RNAcentral describes it as "bacterial SSU rRNA". It matches the Rfam family "Bacterial small subunit ribosomal RNA", at positions 64 to 615 of the family's 1533-position model. The record is from RNAcentral. Lineage: Bacteria; Bacillati; Bacillota; Bacilli; Caryophanales; Bacillaceae.
GAGCGGACAGAAGGGAGCUUGCUCCCGGAUGUUAGCGGCGGACGGGUGAGUAACACGUGGGUAACCUGCCUGUAAGACUGGGAUAACUCCGGGAAACCGGAGCUAAUACCGGAUAGUUCCUUGAACCGCAUGGUUCAAGGAUGAAAGACGGUUUCGGCUGUCACUUACAGAUGGACCCGCGGCGCAUUAGCUAGUUGGUGAGGUAACGGCUCACCAAGGCGACGAUGCGUAGCCGACCUGAGAGGGUGAUCGGCCACACUGGGACUGAGACACGGCCCAGACUCCUACGGGAGGCAGCAGUAGGGAAUCUUCCGCAAUGGACGAAAGUCUGACGGAGCAACGCCGCGUGAGUGAUGAAGGUUUUCGGAUCGUAAAGCUCUGUUGUUAGGGAAGAACAAGUGCAAGAGUAACUGCUUGCACCUUGACGGUACCUAACCAGAAAGCCACGGCUAACUACGUGCCAGCAGCCGCGGUAAUACGUAGGUGGCAAGCGUUGUCCGGAAUUAUUGGGCGUAAAGGGCUCGCAGGCGGUUUCUUAAGUCUGAUGUGAAAGCCCCCGGCUCAACCG